GAUUUAUAUAGAUGAGGUGAGAGAACAGGCUCGUUGACCCUCUGGCAACCCCCAAGCAAUUUGGAAAGGUGCCAAUUCCUGCCCAAUGAAGGGAAAUAUAAAAC
This is a regulatory RNA element of Marivirga tractuosa DSM 4126, 104 nucleotides long. It matches the Rfam family "SAM riboswitch aptamer (S box leader)". From Rfam's summary of the family: The SAM riboswitch is found upstream of a number of genes which code for proteins involved in methionine or cysteine biosynthesis in Gram-positive bacteria. The SAM riboswitch acts at the level of transcription termination control. NCBI's taxonomy places the organism in Bacteria, Pseudomonadati, Bacteroidota, Cytophagia, Cytophagales, Marivirgaceae. The record is from Rfam.